Myotis lucifugus (little brown bat) is the source of this 424-nucleotide non-coding RNA. The record is from Rfam. Lineage: Eukaryota; Metazoa; Chordata; Mammalia; Chiroptera; Vespertilionidae.
UGUUGUUGCCAUGGUAAUCCUGCUCAGUAUGAGAGGAAGGGCAGGUUCAGACAUUUGGUGUAUGUGCAUGGCUGGGGAGCCAAUGGGGCAAAGCUACCAUCUGUGGAUUAUGACUAAACGCCUCUAAGUUAGAAUCCCGCCCCAGCGUAACUAUACGGCAGUGCUGAGGGCCUCCAAUGGCCUCGGAUAGCCGGUCCCCCGCUGUGCCUCGGGACCGGGGUCCGGUGCGGAGAGCCCUUCAUCCUGGGAAACGGGUUGCAGCCAGAAAGGGGGCCGCCCCCUCACCCUUCACGCAACACACAUUCGUGGGGAAGCUAGUGCUAAACCGUUCAUAGACGACCUGCUUCUAGGUCGGGGUUUCAUACGAAGCAGAGCAGCUCCCUCGCUGCGAUCUACUGAUAAUCAGCCCUUGACCCAAGGGUUU